RNAcentral lists this ribosomal RNA (490 nucleotides) under uncultured bacterium. RNAcentral describes it as "partial 16S ribosomal RNA". It matches the Rfam family "Bacterial small subunit ribosomal RNA", at positions 30 to 507 of the family's 1533-position model. The record is from RNAcentral.
AUUGAACGCUGGCGGCAGGCCUAACACAUGCAAGUCGAACGGUAACAGGAAGCGGCUUGCUGCUUUGCUGACGAGUGGCGGACGGGUGAGUCAUGUCUGGGAAACUGCUUGAUUGAGGGGGAUAACUACUGGAAACGGUAGCAAAUACCGCAUAACGCCGCAAGACCAAAGUGGGGGACCUUCGGGCCUCUUGCCAUCCCAUGUGCCCAGCUGGGUGUAGCUAGUAGGUGGGCUAACGGCUCACCUAGGCGACGACCCGUAGUAGGUCUGAGAGGAUGACCGGCCACACUGGAACUGAGACACGGUCCAGACUCCUACGGGAGGCAGCAGUGGGGAAUAUUGCGCAAUGGGCGCAAGCCUGAUGCAGCCAUGCCGCGUGUGUGAAGAAGGCCUUCGGGUUGUAAAGUACUUUCAGCGGGGAGGAAGGGAGUAAAGUUAAUACCUUUGCUAAUUGACGUUACCCGCAGAAGAAGCACCGGCUAACUACGUG